AGUGAUUAAUGCCAAAGCCCUGUUGCCUGUGGAGAGGGUGAUGUUUGACUUUCUUGUACAGCUGCAGUUUGUGUGGUGAAGGUGCUCCCACAAUGUGGUUGGGAUGAGGGUGUCACUGACUGGGCCCAAAGGGCAGUAAAGAGUCAACCACAUUGCUGUGGGUCUGGAGUCACAUGUAGGCCAGACCAGGAUAUUGAGAAUAAUUGAGACUGGAAUCUCAAAAACCAUUUUCUACAGUCAGCUGAGUCAUCAGGAUCUGAAUACCAUUGGCAUUUAACUGUGGAAGGAGAAAGGUUUGUCUGUUCGGUCUG
Hemiscyllium ocellatum (epaulette shark) is the source of this 311-nucleotide long non-coding RNA. RefSeq lists it as uncharacterized. The transcript has 3 exons. The record is from RefSeq and is a predicted model, not a curated record. NCBI's taxonomy places the organism in Eukaryota, Metazoa, Chordata, Chondrichthyes, Orectolobiformes, Hemiscylliidae.